CCCUUAGAUGUUCUGGGCCGCACACGCGCUACACUGAAGGAGGCAGCGUGUACUCCUGGAUCGAAAGAUUUGGGUAACCCGCGAAUCUCCUUCGUGCUAGGGAUUGAGGUUUGCAAUUAUCCUUCAUGAACGAGGAAUUCCCAGUAAGUGCAAGUCAUAAGCUUGCGCUGACUACGUCCCUGCCCUUUGUACACACCGCCCGUCGCUACUACCGAUUGAAUGAUUUAGUGAGGACCUCGGACUGGGACCGAUGCGGCUUUCGGGCUGCGUCGGUAUUCUGGAAAGAUGUCCAAACUGUAUCAUUUAGAGGAAGUAAAAGUCGUAACA
RNAcentral lists this ribosomal RNA (327 nucleotides) under uncultured eukaryote. RNAcentral describes it as "partial 18S ribosomal RNA". It matches the Rfam family "Eukaryotic small subunit ribosomal RNA", at positions 1470 to 1796 of the family's 1831-position model. The record is from RNAcentral.